ACAGAUUACAGGUCCACGUCAGCCAACAGAUUACAGGUACACGUCAGCCAACAGAUUACAGGUCCACGUCAGCCAACAGAUUACAAGUCUACGUCAGCCAACAGAUUACAGGUCCACGUCAGCCAACAGAUUACAAGUCUACGUCGGCCAACAGAUUACAGGUCCACGUCAGCCAACAGAUUACAGGUCCACGUCAGCCAACAGAUUACAGGUCCACGUCAGGUCCACGUCAGCCAACAGAUUACAGGUACACGUCAGCCAACAGAUUACAGGUCAACGUCAGCCAACAGAUUACAGGUCCACGUCAGCCAACAGAUUACAGGUCCACGUCAGGUCAACGUCAGCCAACAGAUUACAGGUCCACGUCAGGUCAACGUCAGCCAACAGAUUACAGGUCCAUGUCAGCCAACAGAUUACAGGUCCACGUCAGCCAACAGAUUACAGGUCCACGUCAGCCAACAGAUUACAGGUACACGUCAGCCAACAGAUUACAGGUCCACGUCAGCCAACAGAUUACAGGUCCACGUCAGCCAACAGAUUACAGGUCCACGUCAGCCAACAGAUUACAGGUCCACGUCAGCCAACAGAUUACAGGUCCACGUCAGCCAACAGAUUACAGGUACACGUCAGCCAACAGAUUACAGGUACACGUCAGCCAACAGAUUACAGGUCCACGUCAGCCAACAGAUUACAGGUCCACGUCAGCCAACAGAUUACA
Molecule: long non-coding RNA, 718 nt
Organism: Pecten maximus
Lineage: Eukaryota; Metazoa; Mollusca; Bivalvia; Pectinida; Pectinidae
Exons: 4
Source: RefSeq, a predicted model, not a curated record